UGGGAGGAAAGCAGGGGAUCGCAAGACCUUGCGCUUUUGGAGUGGCCGAUGCCUGAUUAGCUAGUUGGUGGGGUAAUGGCCUACCAAGGCGACGAUCAGUAGUUGGUCUGAGAGGACGACCAGCCACACUGGGACUGAGACACGGCCCAGACUCCUACGGGAGGCAGCAGUGGGGAAUUUUGGACAAUGGGCGAAAGCCUGAUCCAGCAAUGCCGCGUGAGUGAAGAAGGCCUUCGGGUUGUAAGGCUCUUUCAGUCGAGAAGAAAAGGUUGUGACUAAUAAUCACAACUCAUGACGGUAUCGACAGAAGAAGCACCGGCUAACUACGUGCCAGCAGCCGCGGUAAUACGUAGGGUGCGAGCGUUAAUCGGAAUUACUGGGCGUAAAGGGUGCGCAGGCGGCUUUGUAAGUCAGAUGUGA
This 420-nucleotide ribosomal RNA is filed under the name uncultured ammonia-oxidizing beta proteobacterium. RNAcentral's name for it is "bacterial SSU rRNA". It matches the Rfam family "Bacterial small subunit ribosomal RNA", at positions 196 to 597 of the family's 1533-position model. The record is from RNAcentral. Lineage: Bacteria; Pseudomonadati; Pseudomonadota; Betaproteobacteria.